Molecule: long non-coding RNA, 1784 nt
Organism: Dendroctonus ponderosae (mountain pine beetle)
Lineage: Eukaryota; Metazoa; Arthropoda; Insecta; Coleoptera; Curculionidae
Exons: 2
Source: RefSeq, a predicted model, not a curated record
UCAUAUCAACAACAACCAUAUUCGGUCAAAGUCGCCCGUUGGUCUCGAUGCGCUAAUUAGAAUUCAAGCCACAAGUCUGGACACGUUAAACCGUCCCCUGUGAUAAACCGCCUAACGAUUCAGAUUUCCGGUCGCAACAUCCGCCUUACGACGACUCAAAUCCAGUAAAAUAGUCUCACCCGGCCGGAUACGACAACCGUAACAGCUAUUUUCAGCGCCGAUUUCGAUGUCUUCCAUUUUUUCAAGUGCCGAUACGAACGCCACUGAUGAGGGAAAGUCAAUUGGCUCUGCCCGCCUAACUAGGCACUGGCGUGCGUGCAACAAAAAAAAAUCGAGUUAAUAUUAACCGAGAGUCAUUGGCGGGCACGAGACCGCCAAGUUUAAAGACCUCUCGAUUCAUCAACGAUUUUUUGGCACACGCCCCAAAGGUGCUUGUUUCAAUCCGGCUUUUUUUGGAAACAGUAAUGUUUUGGAACAUCAUGAUUUUCACACGACCCGCUAUUAAUCAUGGAUAGUGAUUCACUCGAUGUACUGGUGUCGUUUAUUGAAGCACUAAGGGUCGAAUCGAGACUUUUGACUGGCCAAGACAAUCAUCGAUGUUGCUGUGUUAGUGUUGGGGCGUCUAAACAGUUUACUUUGGCCUCCCAGUCCACCAGAUUUAAGUUCCUUUGAUACGAAUGUGCAACAUCUAAGUGAGAACAAUUUCCGCCAGUGGCGGCAAGAAGAAAGCCACUAAUUUUUCUGUGCAUCAUAAACUCUCUCAUUGUUGAGCGCACGUCAGUACCGUUUGGUUCCGAAAAAAAUGACCCGGAUUUGGAAAAAAAUACCGAUAAAUUUUCCAACGAACGCGAUGACAUCAGUGGCAGGCAGCGUUAAUUCCCAGAAAGUGGCGUUGUUUCAGUAUUUUGACCCGAGAUGCGCAAAAUCGCUUUAAAUCAAACUUUAGACUUCGUGCGGUGCGAGCUCCGGCCAUGAAAGGUCGUAGUGCGGUGCUACUGGAUGCGCCUGCGCCCCACUCGCGGUUCCUGCAGUCUACAGUGUCAGUGUAAAUAUUUGCCAUAGUACUACUACGACGACCUUCGGCCGGCUUUAAACCGCUUGGGAUAAUAAAGCGACGAUACGAAUCGGAAUAAGACAGCCGAACAUAUUAUCUGUUCACUUUGUUCGGCUGCUCAUGCUGCGUUGCCACAAUUAAAGCCGAUAAUCUGGUACUGCGAUGAGUGUUUCAACCAGUGGCGUGUCAACAGCCAAGGACUUAAAGCGAACGGACGUUCUAGUUAACCAUUGGUGCAUUUACGCCAAUAACUCAACUAGCAAGUCUAUCCCAGAUGGAUUUUCCUUAUACUGAACCGUUACGUCUUUGUUCAGCAAAUAGUUUUCCUGGUUAUGCGGGAUUUUAGCACAGUCUGGCAACGCUCGAAAACGGAUGCAAGUAAAUUGCGCCCCUUAACCAUUUCAUCGAUAUUAAAUUAAAAUUUAAGAGCAUUUUUUUAACAAUUGUGCUCUACUAAAAGAAGGUUCAAUUUUCAAUGUGGUUUUCGUGGUGGUUUUUGCUGGCAGCAGUUUCGCAUUUAUUUCCUUUGUAACUUGCAGUGUCAAAAAGUCACUGUUGGAUGCAUAUUGUAGAGCAAAGUCUCUCAUAUUAGUGGAAAGUUUCGAUUUUUAAUCAUCAUGGAAUUUUUGAAAAUCUUUUAAAAUUGCGUUUGGUUGACGAGGUUGUUUUUGCAAGCCGGAGUUUGGCAUGCACGUAUUCAGAAUCUAAUAAAGUGAGAAAGUCAAUCUUA